This 379-nucleotide unclassified non-coding RNA is filed under the name plant metagenome. Its description in RNAcentral is "partial contains 5.8S ribosomal RNA, internal transcribed spacer 2, and large subunit ribosomal RNA". The stretch from base 1 to 105 matches the Rfam family "5.8S ribosomal RNA", at positions 50 to 154 of the family's 154-position model. The record is from RNAcentral.
GAAAUGCGAUAAGUAAUGUGAAUUGCAGAAUUCAGUGAAUCAUCGAAUCUUUGAACGCACCUUGCGCUCCUUGGUAUUCCUUGGAGCAUGCCUGUUUGAGUAUCAUGAAAUCUUCAAAGUAAAUCUUUUGUUAACUCAAUUGGUUUCUACUUUGGUAUUGGAGGUCUUUGCAGCUUCACACCUGCUCCUCUUUGUUCAUUAGCUGGAUCUCAGUGUUAUGCUUGGUUCCACUCGGCGUGAUAAGUUAUCUAUCGCUGAGGACACUGUAAAAGGUGGCCAAGGUAAAUGCAGAUGAACCGCUUCUAAUAGUCCAUUGACUUGGACAAUACUUUUAUGAUCUGAUCUCAAAUCAGGUAGGACUACCCGCUGAACAUAAGCA